CAUCAACAGUGUUUAGCCCUUGCUCAUAAAAUCUCCCCGGUUUUCCCAAGAGAGGUGUGGGGACACAGGUAGUGCUUCGUAACUCAUAGACAUAGCCUUCCCCACGAGUAAUCCUCUUCAUCAGUUCUGUGUCACCUUGAGUAUUCCAUCAUGCUCGGCAUGUAGUUAUCAAAUAGGAUUAUAUGAUGUGGGGACGGUGCCAUUGACCAAAUACAGAAGAUGCCUGCCUUUGCGUAGGAAGGAGUAGAUAGAAACGGAGACACCUCCUCAGGUUUUCUAGACUUCUUCAAAUGUUUAAGACUGUCCUUUGCCUGCUUUGACUGAUGCUGACCUUCCCACCACCUAGAUGGUUUCAGAGUUGCUGAUGUCACUUCCUUCUUCUUUUCAGGUGAUAUUUUUGCCCUCUCUAGGAGAGAAACACUGGAAUACUAUGCCUGAGAGGAAAGGUCAGCUAAAUUUUCUUAAGAAUAGGACGUCUGGAUGCAGUUUCUUUCCGAAACGGAAGCAUCUCCCCCUAACCAUUCCGAUACUCAAGGGCUGAAUCCUCUGCUAACAUUAAGAACCCCACGGGGGCUCCGAAAACAGGCUGCAGCAAGGGCAAGCCGGACCUGCGAGAAUGAGUUCUUCACUCCACUUUUGUCUGGGCACGCUUCUGCCUUGGACUACAAGGCCUAUCAUUCCAGCCAAGAGCAGCUAUGUUGCAGAAGGAUGGUAGAAUAUGCAUCACAUCUGAAGGGCACCAGCUUGAGGGUCGCCAUCUUGAAGCAUGCUUCGGCAUCAGUUUGACAAAGAGGUAAGUUCUCCUUCUCACAUUAAAAAGAAAGCAAAACACUGAAUGCUUUGAACUCAGAAAUGUAGAAUGCCAUGGAGACAAGGAACAUUCUCCUUGCCAUUCUAGGUUUCCACAGGAGGAGAGUUUUUAUGAGAACUUGGCAGCAUUUAGGUAGAUAGUGCCAGUCUCUAACAUGAAAUAGUCAAGGUGAGUAGUCCUUGGUUUUCUAAACCAUAUAGAUCAAGUCUGAAGAAUGUUUGGCCACCUCCCUCCAUAUUUUUGACUACC
RNAcentral lists this long non-coding RNA (1060 nucleotides) under Pogona vitticeps (central bearded dragon). RNAcentral's name for it is "lncRNA (ENSPVIG00000018821.1)". Lineage: Eukaryota; Metazoa; Chordata; Lepidosauria; Squamata; Agamidae. The record is from RNAcentral.